GAUCCACGAUUUGAAGUUUAUGGGAUCUACAACGACCUAAAACUAACAUAAUUUUUUUUUUACAUACAAUUUAGUAAUUGAAUUCACAAUUAGAUAUGUUUAGAUACUUUAAUAAAAUAUUAAUACAUAUAUGAGGUAUCCCAACUGUAAAGUACAACACCUACGAAAAGUACCAAGAAGUUGCGAAGAAAUGAGAGCUACUCAUAUUUUUAACAUGAGAAAGAAGGCUAAGGUGGAGAACAAGGUGGAUGAGUUGGAUAGGAAGAUAAUAAAAGACGGUGAAGCUAAAAAUAGGUCAGUGGCUUCUCGGUUGCUUCUGCCUUUGCCGAUGGUGGUCACGAUUGCUGCUGGUGGGGCCGCCAUUGCACUUGUUUGCUACAUUAAAUACUCAGCUAGGAGAAAUUGAUGAAAGUGUAACAAGCUAUAUAUAAUAUAAAGCUAGGCAUAAACAAGGUGAUGUGGCACCUCUCUAUGACCACCAUUCUUAUUUAUCCUUUUUCUCCUUUUUUUGCUUUUUUUCCUAACUUCCUCUUAUUUAUUUGUUGAGUUAUUCAUUAUUUCCGUUGAAUAACACUAUUCUUCCCAAGAUUAAAAAAAUGUACCUUUAUGAAAAUUAACGCGUUUACGACUAAAUUUAUUACAAUAACUUUGUAUGCGUUACUAUUCUAUUUGUAUUACCCAUUACCCAUAAGUUACAAACAGAGUAUUGCUAUACAUAAGCAUAUCAUUCUUCUCCUCAAUCCAGUCUAAUCUCCGCAGAGAAAGUUCUCUCCUUUUCUUUUUGUUAUUUUAUUUCCUUUUUUCCUGUUGUGUUUUUGCCACAGUAUAACAACUUUUUCCUCGUAUUUCUAUCUUCAAUUCUUCUACAAUUGAUAAUAUGCUGAGUUUUUCACAUACUAAUCAAUUUCGUUUUUUAAUAUAUUGAAAUUUAUAUACUUUUCUUAUGUGAACGAAAACGAUUGUAGAUUGAACAGGUGGAUAAAUUACACAAGAUAGUGAAAAUUCGCAAGCCUUGCAAGAGUCUUUUGGAGGUAACUUUAUCAGGAUGAAAAAAAAGGAAACAUAUAAUAGCAAAAGAACAACCAGAACCGGUAAUCAGAAGUCGAUGCCACGCAAGUCUAGUCAACUCCAAGUUAGCAAAGAUCACUUCAGCCGAGGAUUGAGGGAUUACCCGGUAAGCCUACUCCAGAUUCACGUCCAGCUCGCAUCGAAUUCAUUACAUUGGAAUGAGACAGUCUUAUCCCGGAGUCAAGUGUCCAGUCGGUCCUCGAUGUCUAAAUAGGAUAAGCUCUCUAGACCAACUGAUUCCGGAAUGUCUGGGAUUCUCCAAGGUGGUUACAAAUCAAUAUAUAUGUGUUACGUACGGGACAUGCAGAUAAUGAUCAUAAUGAGGAGCAGAGUAUUAGGGAGGCGUUCUAGGGUUAUACUAUAGAUUAAAUAUACCGUUUUGCCCCUCUUGUAGCUAGACCAUAUGAUUUUCACGAUAAUACUACUCAAAUUCUCAAGU
Molecule: long non-coding RNA, 1507 nt
Organism: Lycium barbarum (goji berry)
Lineage: Eukaryota; Viridiplantae; Streptophyta; Magnoliopsida; Solanales; Solanaceae
Exons: 3
Source: RefSeq, a predicted model, not a curated record